UUUUUCCGCCGCCUGACCAAAAUGCCCCUCCUAUACAAUAGCCUCCCGCGUAUUUCUUGACAUACGUAUACUACCCUGCCGUACGUUCUGGCGCGCAUUAAAUGACCCGUUCAAUCUCAGUCAUUUCUCGGAACCCGGACAACAUCCGCCCCCGCUAUUCGCCGGCCCCGCUGUUUCCUGUUCUGCUUAAGACUUUACGAAAUUUUCGAACGCUAUUGACAAAUAGUGCGCGCUCCGCAACAGGGAUAAUAGUGCAAUGUGAAGUCUACGAAAUGAGAAAUGGUGCAACCGACCUCUAUAACAGUGCAUCCUAGCCUCGUUCCAGUGCAAACAAACCAUAAUCAGUCAAAAUUUUACUUUCUCCAUUUCUUAAUAUAAUCUGAACUUAAAAGUGCAAAUGAACGGCGUCCCCUCCAAAUGCAGGCGAAGCGUCGGCUGCGCAGGAGGGUCGCUGCCGGGUAGGACGGUCGGCGAUGUGCGACAAAAGAGUCGGCAGGCCAGGAAGCUCUGCGGCGGGGCUGGACGGUCGCCGGCGGGUUCGGAGUUCGAGAGGGCCGACAUAACGGCUAAACGAUUGUGUAAAGUUUUCCUAUAAAAGAUCACGCGUCCUUUUGCUUGUUAAAUAAGUUCACAGUUAAGCGCGAAUAAUAGUGCAAGGCAGUGUUAAUUACAGAAAAAUAUUUUUCAAAAGAGUGCAAAGAAGCUCGUAAGAGUGCAAUACGGGGAAAUAACAGUCUAAUCAAUUUUAUCUACGAGUGCAACGAAACCUGUAAGAGUGCAAUACGGUAGUAAUACAGUGCAACUCAGAUCAAAUGAGUUCAAGAUUCUCCGCUAAAGCGUGUAACAGUAUGAUAUGUAGCACAAAAUUUUCACAGAUUUGGUGUUAAUUUUUAAUUUAAUCUUAAGGUAAUAGUGCAAAUGAAAGGACAUGGUGACGUCGAAUAUAGCGGUGUGAAGUAGGAGGAGGCUCCACCGCCUCUUUAUUGCCGCCGCCGCCGCGGCGCUAUACCUCCGCGCGCCAGGGUUAAUAGUGCAAGGCGAAGGCUCUACAGCGGGAGAAACGGUGGAACAAACCUUCUAACAUGCAACCGUAGCGUCGUUCCAGUGCAAGGAGAAUGCUAGGAGGAGGAGGAGGGUCGAUCGGAGGUUAAGAUCCAGCAACGAGGCGAUCAGAAAAAACGAUCCAGCAACGAGGCGUUAAGGUUGAUUCGCACUAUCUGGAAUGUUUCAUUUGUUUUGGGCAAUUUGGAGCUCCGCUCUACCAUGAAAAAGACAGUACAGACAGAAAAAUAUAGAACUAAUUUCAUAAGGGUGUAACUAUGUCACAAUAAUAGUGCAACGUAGGGUAAAAAAGUGGAACUAAGUUCAUAAGGGUGCAACUAUGUCACAAUAAUAGUGCAAUGGAUUCAUGGAACAGCAAACACACGGUCUGGCGAAUAGCGUGGAUAUACGCUCCAGCAAACACACGCGCGCAUUUAAUGCUGGUAAAAGUACGUAGCGUAGCGUCUACGUUAUAGCGUCUCUUCUGUGAGGAUAGGAGACACCGGCGGUUAUAUCGAAGCUGCCUCGGGGAAAGUAAAAGCGACUAUUUCGAAUUUUACUCGUAAAGGCGUUGCACUGUUAUGACGAAUGUUACUCUAAUAUCUCCCCAGUAUUGCACUUUUUUUGCAUUUUGUUACUUAACGUUGCACUAUUAUUACAGCAAUUGUUGCACUAUUUUUAUACGAUUGAAUGAUUUAUUGAUAUUUUAAAGUGAUGUUACAGUAAUACGGCUCUUCAGGUGAGCAUUAGCCACUUUCUGUUCACGACGAAAACUAAUAUUUCGCGAGCAUUAAUAGUCGGUUACCUAAAUGGUUACGCAACGUAGGGUAAAGGAGUACCUCGACUCUAUUCCUCAAAUGCCUGUUCGUUUUCUAUAAAAGCACUCUCCAGGCACUUGGGCAACCGGCGACGAGGAAACAGCGAUGAUGGAGGUACACGAGACGAGAGGAGAGACCCGCAGGAGACGUCGACGAAGAAGAGGCUCGGUCGUAAGUGUAUCAUCCAGUAAGGAGGCGUUAAGAUUGAUUCGCACUAUCUGAAGUACUGUGCUUUAUUUGCGACGAGUGCCAAAACGUCAAUGCGAAAGUGCCUAGUGCAAAUAAAGCUCCGACAUACCCCUCCGAGCGAGCCCUCUCCUCUUCGCCAUUUCAUCUUCCGAUAGAGGAACCUCAGAGUAUGUUAUGUGCUCGUGGAUUUGCGGCAAGCUUUGAUGAUGAUUCAGUACUUUUGUAAAAUGAAGGCCUAAUUUUGUUCACUAAUAAUGUUGAUGCGAAAGUUACAGUUGAUGUUGUGAACAUCGUAUUGUAUGCAAAACGUGUAUUAUAUGUUGCGUUUUCGUCAAAGACAAUGUAUAAUUUGCUUGUAUAUUAAUAAAGAGAUCCCUUUCUUUA
Ananas comosus (pineapple) is the source of this 2432-nucleotide long non-coding RNA. RefSeq lists it as uncharacterized. The record is from RefSeq and is a predicted model, not a curated record. NCBI's taxonomy places the organism in Eukaryota, Viridiplantae, Streptophyta, Magnoliopsida, Poales, Bromeliaceae. The transcript has 2 exons.